UACGUAGGGGGCAAGCGUUGUCCGGAUUUAUUGGGCGUAAAGAGCGUGUAGGCGGCUUUACAGGUCAGCUGUGAAAACUCGAGGCUCAACCUCGAGACGUCGGUUGAAACCGUAAGGCUAGAGUCCGGAAGAGGAGAGUGGAAUUCCCGGUGUAGCGGUGAAAUGCGCAGAUAUCGGGAAGAACACCCGUGGCGAAGGCGGCUCUCUGGGACGGUACUGACGCUGAGACGCGAAAGCGUGGGGAGCGAACAGG
RNAcentral lists this ribosomal RNA (253 nucleotides) under uncultured bacterium. Its description in RNAcentral is "partial 16S ribosomal RNA". It matches the Rfam family "Bacterial small subunit ribosomal RNA", at positions 524 to 776 of the family's 1533-position model. The record is from RNAcentral.